This 311-nucleotide ribosomal RNA is filed under the name uncultured bacterium. RNAcentral describes it as "partial 16S ribosomal RNA". It matches the Rfam family "Bacterial small subunit ribosomal RNA", at positions 28 to 334 of the family's 1533-position model. The record is from RNAcentral.
GACGAACGCUGGCGGCGUGCCUAACACAUGCAAGUCGAACGGAGUUAAGAGAGCUUGCUUUCUUGACUUAGUGGCGAACGGGUGAGUAACGCGUGAGGAAUCUGCCUUUCAGUGGGGGACAACAGUUGGAAACGACUGCUAAUACCGCAUAAGCCCACGGCCCGGCAUCGGGCUGAGGGAAAAGGAUUUAUUCGCUUCAGGAUGGACUCGCGUCCAAUUAGCUAGUUGGUAAGGUAACGGCUUACCAAGGCGACGAUCAGUAGCCGACCUGAGAGGGUGACCGGCCACAUUGGGACUGAGACACGGCCCAA